GGCCCCUGCGGGCCCCCGCCCGGGCGAAGGGUGCAGCCCCCGCGCGAUUCGGUGGCCGUGGCGCGCGCGGGACUCGCCUACCCGGGAACCGCUCGGGAUUGAAUGAAGCAACGCGAUUGGAGGCCGCCCGGGAGCGGGCGGGAGACCAUUCCCCCACCCCUGAACCGUUUUCGCGGGUUGAGGCGAGUGGUUUUGCAAAUGAGGUUGGUGCAAAUGCCUGGAAACGCCCCUGGCUGCGAGAGACGAGCGCGGGGUUGCGACCGUUUAGAUUUGCCAGACAUUUGCCGUGCAAGUGGCAAAAUGCCAGAAGUGAAGAGAAAGAAAUGUUAAUAACCAAGAAAUAAAUGAUUCCCCUGUGAAAAGUUCCAAAAUCUGCAAACACUCUUAGGGCUGUCACUAAGAGAAACACUGGACUUUUUACAGGGUCUUUUCUAGAUAUUAUAAAGAGGUCAGAGGUAGGGAAGAUCCCCCUCCUCACUUGG
This is a long non-coding RNA of Canis lupus familiaris (dog), 482 nucleotides long. RefSeq lists it as uncharacterized. NCBI's taxonomy places the organism in Eukaryota, Metazoa, Chordata, Mammalia, Carnivora, Canidae. The transcript is spliced from 2 exons. The record is from RefSeq and is a predicted model, not a curated record.